CUUGUGGACCUGUCCAGUGUUCAGGUGGCUUCCCCAGUGUGGCAGCAUUGGACCAGAUAUUUAUACGGAGGAGGUUCAAGAGAUGAAGUCAACGACGCCGAUAUGUCUAUCCACGGUCACAAUGCUCUUGGUCUCCGUCACUCAGACCUCAGGUAACCUUCAAGUGGCUUCUGAUGACUCUGGUCUCACAGUCAUCGCAUCCUACAAGGCCUUGGCAAUCAUCGGUAUCCUGAAGCUCUUGAUAGGAAUCCUAUUCCUGGUGGACAGCGAGGUGUACUUCUUCAAGAGGAAGAGAAGAGAUCUAUCAGAGGAAACAGAAGAUAGCAUUCUUCGACAGCAGCAGCAAUGGCUGACUACUACCCUGUUGGGGUGUGGCUUACAACUAAUCUGCGACUACCAGGGACGACGGUAAUCAUAUCUUGAGCGAGGAGGAGUUGAUACAGUCCAUCUUCGGGAGAAAGCCGGAGACCCCAUUGCAGCCGAAGAACCCAGACCUCCCCAACGGAGGAGGGUACGAUGAUGACCCCGUUCGGCUACGAGGAAGCCUGAUCGAGACCUGCGGUAGGCUGUUCCCUAGAUGCCCCUCCGCCUUCAGGAGAAUGCUGGAGAUCUUCGCUCCCGUACCCAAGCGGAGUUCUCACUAUGAGCUCUGAGAGAGAGAGAGAGAGAGAGAGAGAGAGAGAGAGAGAGAGAGGGAGAGAGAGAGAUCGACUCGAGUGAUGACUCUAUUCUUUAGUAAUUACUAUUCAUACCUUGCAUACUACAGUUAUUCAUGAGAGAGAGAGAGAGAGAGAGAGAGAGAGAGAGAGAGAGAGAGAGAGAGAGAGAGAGAGAGAGGGGCAGAUAGAAUCAUUCUAAGAAUUGCGACUAUACUUUUUUAAAUUGUUACUUAGCCAAGCACUAACACCAUCAAUUAUUCAUGCCUGAGAGAGAGAGAGAGAGAAAGAGAGAGAGAGAGAAUUUUUCUUCAGUAUCUGUACACUAUAAUUGUAAUAAUGUACCUGCAUUAAUUAUAAAAAGUAUUUAUUUAUUUAUUUAUUUAUUUAUUAUUUAAGUAUAUACGUAGUAUUACUAGAUUUGGUCCAGGGAAGAAACGCGAGUUACUUGCCAAGUUCGGUAUCGCCAAAGGUACCAUACGUUACUUAUUCAUAAAUUUAAUGUAAUUCCUUCAGAUUAAUAAAGAAAUAAAUAUAAUCUGUUAUCUAAGUAUGCAAAAACACACGGCUACCGAGGUUCUGUAAACUAAAGGUAUUAGGAGCCUUUGGAAUGAUCCCAAAACCAUAUACAUGGAACCUUAGGGACCUAAGGAAUUCCUAUUAGAUUGGGUGGAAGGAAGCAACACAGCCUGAACCUAUACAUGCUCAGAGGAUCCUGAAGUUAGUUGUCCUACAAGGACUAUACCAGACAAAGAACUCCGAUCAGAAUGCAUCAGAAAAGACACCAUGGGCGAUCUCCAUUACCCGUGGCUUUUGACCAAACUGAAGAGCCAGACCAAGUGGGACUCCAGCUAGGCCCAAGAGAACAGGUUCAUACGUUACUGUGCUCAUAGAGGAUAAUGUCCAACAAGAGGCAUUCAGGAAUGCACUGAGCAAGGGCAAUGGUCCUGCUGGCGAGUCUGGAAAGGACCUAUGAUUGAAUGACUGAAAUUUCUACCAUUUCUCUUUAUAUAGUAUGAAUGGCAAGUACAGUAUAUGCAGUACUAUGUUAUGUAUGUAAACAUUUAGAAAGGCUCCAACUAUUUCCUGCAUUUGUUACUAAAGUUUUGAAGAAGUUAGAGAAAUGGUGGGUGCAUGUUACAUAUCCCUUGUACAACUUUUCUCUAUGAAAUGAUCAUUACCCAUAAGUAAUUUUUUUUACCCAAUAAAUAAUUCCAAAGCUUUCAAGAUGAAGUUCAUGGAUAUAUUUGAGAGCAUCCUAUUCCAUACUAUGCACCUAUAUUGACAGGCUGGGUGUCAUAGUUUUGAGCAAAGAACUCUUCUACAGUUCUAACAAAAAAUUAGAUAGGGUCCAGCAUACUUAGCUAGGUUAACCUUGGUUAGCAAGCCACCCUGUAUUCUACCAGUUUAAUUUAUGAACCUCAGAAUUAGGUCAAGCUGGGGACGAAGAUCAAGGAGGGUGAAGACCUCAGUCAGGUAUGACCCAUCACAUGGGUUAGAGAAAGGUUCUUUAGAAUGGUUAGCUUGUGCGGGUGGGGGCUGGGGUGGGAGGAAGACCCUGAUUCUGCUAGGAUCCUGCCGUAUAUUGUAGGUUCAGAUGCAUCCACAUCACUGCCCUAGCCACAUUUAAAAAUUCUAUGGUAAUUGGUACUCAUUAAACAUAUGAAAUACAAAGUAUUUUACAACCUGCUAUGAGAUUCAGGGCCUCUGUAACACGGAUUUUUGGCAAUAACUUUUUAUCUAUGCAUUUCAUAGAUAUAACGCUUAUUCAGAAUACACAUUAUAUCUACACAUAAACUUUGACUGUAUUCUGCAUUACGUAGGUUGAAUAAAUUUGGUACUUAUAAUGUAAAAGUGACUUGUUUUGAAGACGGGCCAACUUACUCAGAGAUAAGGUUUCGAACGCACUCGUUACGUAACUUAUGACAGCUUUUCUUCUCUCUUUCUCGAUGGAGAUUAGUUUUGAUACUACGAGUAGGGAAGGUUGUAAUGAAAAAGUUGGAAAUGUAUUGACAACAUCAUGUAGUGAAAUCGAUGUAUAUAAAAUUAAUGUCACAGAUUUGAAACAUGAGCAAAUUAACGAUGUCUCUUUACAGCCUUUGUUUAAGAAUGCAUUGACAGAGAAGGAGAGUAUGGCAGAAUCUACAUGUUACUACUUAAAAGCUGGAGUGCUAAUGAGGAAAUAUAGAGCAAAUACCGCAGUGGCAACUGCCUCUUGGGAAGUUAAACAUCAGUUGGUGGUUCCAGCAACUCUGAAAAAUGAUGUGAUGAGGGUGGCCCAUGAAGUCUCUACUACUCAUCUUGGGAUUAAGAAGACAGCAUACAGUAUAUUGCAAUAUUUUUAUUGGCCUAGCCUUUUGCGUGAUGUGAAGGUAUUCUGCAAUUGUUGCAUAACCUGUCAAAAAGUAGGUAAGCCAAACCAAGCACCUAAACCAGUGCCUUUGGUCCCUCAAGUAGUCUGUAAUGUUCCUUUUGAAAAAGUUAUUAUUGACUGCGUUGGACCUCUACCAAAAACAAAAAGACAGCAUCAAUACAUGUUGACUAUAAUGUGUUCUAGUAUUAGAUAUCCAGAUGCUAUUCCUUUACGGAAUAUAACAACUAAGAAUCUUAUUCCACACCUUGUCAAGUUUUUUACUCAAUAUGGCAUCCCUAAAGUGGUUCAUAC
This is a long non-coding RNA of Macrobrachium nipponense, 3321 nucleotides long. RefSeq lists it as uncharacterized. NCBI's taxonomy places the organism in Eukaryota, Metazoa, Arthropoda, Malacostraca, Decapoda, Palaemonidae. The record is from RefSeq and is a predicted model, not a curated record. The transcript is spliced from 4 exons.